AUUCCAGCUCCAAUAGCGUAUAUUAAAGUUGUUGUGGUUAAAAAGCUCGUAGUUGGAUUUCGGCGGGUAUAGGUUGGUUUGAAUUGCUUCAAUACUGACUUUUUUACCCGUGUGUUUUGCCAGAAUUUAACGGGUGAUCUUCGCCGAUUGUCUGUUAGAACUGACAGGUUUACUUUGAAAAAAUUAGAGUGCUCAAAGCAAGCUUGAUUGCUUGAAUAUUCGUGCAUGGAAUAAUAGAAUAGGAAGUCGUUUCUAUUUUGUUGGUUUUCGGAAAUCGACUUAAUGAUUAAUAGGGACAGUCGGGGGCAUUUGUAUUCAAACGACAGAGGUGAAAUUCUUGGACCGUUUGAAGACAAACUACUGCGAAAGCAUUUGCCAAGAAUGUUUUCAUUA
RNAcentral lists this ribosomal RNA (393 nucleotides) under Temora sp. RNAcentral's name for it is "partial small subunit ribosomal RNA". It matches the Rfam family "Eukaryotic small subunit ribosomal RNA", at positions 582 to 975 of the family's 1831-position model. The record is from RNAcentral. Lineage: Eukaryota; Metazoa; Arthropoda; Copepoda; Calanoida; Temoridae.